GUGCUCACUUCGGCAGCACACACACAACAACCGGACUGACAGAGAUGAGCACUGGCCCCUGCACAAGGAUGACAUGCAAAUUUGUGAAGCAUUCAUAUCUUUG
This is a small nuclear RNA of Peromyscus maniculatus bairdii (prairie deer mouse), 103 nucleotides long. The record is from Ensembl. NCBI's taxonomy places the organism in Eukaryota, Metazoa, Chordata, Mammalia, Rodentia, Cricetidae.